This 135-nucleotide ribosomal RNA is filed under the name uncultured Ilumatobacter sp. RNAcentral describes it as "partial 16S ribosomal RNA". Lineage: Bacteria; Bacillati; Actinomycetota; Acidimicrobiia; Acidimicrobiales; Ilumatobacteraceae. The record is from RNAcentral.
CACGUAGUUGGCCGCACCUUCUUCUGCAGGUACCGUCAGUUUCUUCCCUGCUGAAAGCGGUUUACAACCCUAAGGCCUUCUUCCCGCACGCGGCGUUGCUGCAUCAGGCUUUCGCCCAUUGUGCAAUAUUCCCCA